RNAcentral lists this ribosomal RNA (253 nucleotides) under uncultured bacterium. RNAcentral describes it as "partial 16S ribosomal RNA". It matches the Rfam family "Bacterial small subunit ribosomal RNA", at positions 524 to 776 of the family's 1533-position model. The record is from RNAcentral.
UACGAAGGGGGCUAGCGUUGUUCGGAAUCACUGGGCGUAAAGGGCGCGUAGGCGGCCAACUAAGUCAGACGUGAAAUCCCCAGGCUCAACCUGGGAACUGCGUCUGAUACUGGAUGGCUUGAAUUCGGGAGAGGGAUGCAGAAUUCCAGGUGUAGCGGUGAAAUGCGUAGAUAUCUGGAGGAAUACCGGUGGCGAAGGCGGCAUCCUGGACCGACAUUGACGCUGAGGAGCGAAAGCUAGGGGAGCAAACGGG